RNAcentral lists this transfer RNA (61 nucleotides) under Franciscoloa pallida. RNAcentral describes it as "tRNA-Ala". The record is from RNAcentral. Lineage: Eukaryota; Metazoa; Arthropoda; Insecta; Psocodea; Menoponidae. RNAcentral also lists the same sequence under 1 other name.
GGGAUAUUAGUUAAAACAUAACAUCUAAAUUGCAAUUAGAAAUUGAAACUUUCAUAUCUUA